This 253-nucleotide ribosomal RNA is filed under the name uncultured bacterium. RNAcentral describes it as "partial 16S ribosomal RNA". It matches the Rfam family "Bacterial small subunit ribosomal RNA", at positions 524 to 776 of the family's 1533-position model. The record is from RNAcentral.
UACAGAGGGGGCAAGCGUUGUUCGGAAUUACUGGGCGUAAAGGGCGCGUAGGCGGCCUUCUAAGUCGAACGUGAAAUCCCCGGGCUCAACCCGGGAACUGCGUCCGAGACUGAAAGGCUUGAAUCCGGGAGAGGGAUGUGGAAUUCCAGGUGUAGCGGUGAAAUGCGUAGAUAUCUGGAGGAAUACCGGUGGCGAAGGCGGGUCUCUGGGCCGAUACUGACGCUGAGGAGCGAAAGCGUGGGGAGCGAACAGG